ACGGCUCAGUAACACGUUGCUAAUCUACCCUUAGAUCGGGAAUACCCUCGGGAAACUGAGGAUAAAACCCGGUAGAGGAUGUUCUCUGGAAUGAAGCAUCCUUGAAACUUUGGUCUAAGGAUGAGGCUGCGGUUGAUUAGGUAGUUGGCGGGGUAAAUGCCCACCAAGCCGAUGAUCAGUAAGGGCUCUUAGCGGAGAGGCCCUGAGAAGGAACCUUAGACAACGUUCCUAGUCCUACGGGACGUAGCAAGCGGGGAAAUUUUACAAUGCGCGAAAGCGUGAUAAAGCAAGCCAGAGUGUUUUUCAUAUAAUUUGAAAAACUUUUAUUCGUUGCAAAAAGACGGAUGAAUAAGGAGUGGGCAAGACCGGUGCCAGCCGCCGCGGUAAUCCCGGCGCUCCAAGUCGCAGCCACAAUUAUUGGGUCUAAAACAUUCGUAGCUUGUUGAGUAAGUUUCUUGUGAAAUUUCACAUCUUAAGUGUGAAGCGUGCACGAAAUACUGCUCAACUAGGGACCGGAAGAAGCAAGAAGUAUGCUUGAGGUAGUGGUAAAAUAUUUUAAUCUCAAGCAGACUAACAACAGCGAAGGCAUCUUGCUAGCACGGAUCUGACAGUGAGGAAUGAAGGCUAGGGUCGCGAAGUGGAUUAGAUACCCACGUAGUCCUAGCAGUAAACACUGCUCACUGAACAUUAGGACCUCCUCGAGAG
Molecule: ribosomal RNA, 705 nt
Filed under: uncultured archaeon
Lineage: Archaea
Description: bacterial SSU rRNA
Rfam family: Archaeal small subunit ribosomal RNA
Source: RNAcentral